CGCCACUACUAGUAUUAGCACCUUGCACGAACCCGACUCCAUCGCAGCUUUGGGUUGGCGUCACGAAAAGGACUAGCACAGAGCAGCGGCGAGGAACUACACAACCAUAGUCCAAAGAGCAUCCAAGAAGAGAAGCGAAAUGGGCGGCGGCAGAGGAAGAGGAAACAGGUCCCGAACUCAAAGAAAGCAUUUCCGCGAUGGCCGAGAGAACGUUUGGAAACGCGCCAAAUCUCACUCUUCCUCUGAUCCCAACAACACUAGCACCGAUAAUCCUACUUGGCAGCCCUUCGCCACUCAAAACCAGGCCUUCGAUGAAUACUACAAGGAGCAAGGGAUAGUGGCACCGGAAGAGUGGGACACCUUUGUAGAAGUUCUUCGAACACCGUUGCCUGCUGCUUUCAGAAUCAAUUCUAGUAGCCAAUUUUGUGCAGAUAUUAGAUCUCAGUUAGAGGAUGACUUUAUGAAAUCUCUUAAAGCUGAAUUCACUGAUGGUGGUGAAGUGGAGGCUAUCAGACCGUUGCCUUGGUAUCCUGAUAAUCUUGCUUGGCAUUCAAAUUUUUCUCGAAUGCAGCUAAGGAAGAACCAAACCCUUGAGAGGUUUCAUGAGUUCUUAAAGCUGGAAAAUGAAAUUGGAAACAUCACAAGACAGGAGGCUGUCAGCAUGGUACCUCCUCUCUUCUUGGACGUAUGUCCAAAUCAUUUUGUACUUGAUAUGUGUGCUGCACCAGGUUCAAAAACAUUUCAGUUGCUGGAGAUUAUAUAUCAAUCAACAAAAGCAGGAUCACUGCCUGAUGGAAUGGUUAUAGCAAAUGACCUUGAUGUCCAAAGAUGUAAUCUUCUGAUCCACCAAACGAAAAGAAUGUGCACUGCUAACUUAAUAGUCACAAAUAAUGAAGCCCAACAUUUCCCUGGUUGCCGCGCAAACAAAAAUUUCCCUAAGGCUUCUGAGAUUGAAUUACGGCCCCCCAUUAGUCAACUUCUUUUUGAUCGCGUCUUGUGUGAUGUUCCUUGCAGUGGAGAUGGCACGCUUCGCAAGGCUCCUGAUCUGUGGAGGAAAUGGAAUUCAGGGAUGGGCAAUGGGCUUCAUAAUCUACAAAUUCAGAUAGCAAUGCGAGGCUUAUCCUUACUUAAAGUUGGUGGAAGAAUGGUUUACUCAACCUGCUCAAUGAAUCCAGUUGAAAAUGAGGCUGUUGUUGCUGAGAUUUUACGGAGGUGUGGAGGGUCUGUUGAGCUAGUUGAUGUCUCCAAAGAGCUUCCUCAACUUGUUCGUCGGCCAGGUCUAAGGAAAUGGAAGGUGCGUGAUAAGGGUAUUUGGUUAUUUUCACACAAAGAUGUCUCCAAAUUCCGAAGAUUUGGGAUUCUUCCCAGUAUGUUUCCUUCUGGAAGAACCUAUGUUGCCCCAACAAAUGGAGAUCAUAAGCAUGAGAAUGGUGCUAAUAUGAAUUCUGAAGAUGAGCUAAUGGAGGAUCCUAUGACUUCAACAGAGGAUUUGAAUGAAGAAGUUUCUGAUCUCCCUCUAGAGCGUUGCAUGAGGAUAGUACCUCAUGAUCAGAACAGUGGGGCCUUUUUCAUCGCUGUCCUCCGCAAACUCUCUCCUUUGCCAGUCAUUCAGGAGAAACCCAGUCGGCGUGGAAAUUUGUUGACUAAAAAAGAUGAACUACAAGAAAAAUUAUCAGAACAGGUUACUGAAUGUAAUAAUGGAGUGGAGCUAAACUCAGAAGAUGCUGCAUCUGAAAAUUUUUCUGAAGCAGCUUCAGAGGCUGAUUUAAUUGAGAAAGAAACAGACAAGGCUACUUUAGAGCCUGAUCCUUGUAACACUGAUGAUGAAAAUGAUUCAGAGGAAGCCCAUUUGUUGGUUGAUGGGGAGAUUCCAUCUGGGAAGGCUGUAGGGAAGAGAAAGUUGCAAAUUCAAGGCAAAUGGAAAGGGGUUGACCCGGUGAUUUUCUUCAAAGAUGAAGCCAUUAUCAAUAGCAUAAAGGCAUUCUAUGGUAUUGAUGAGUCAUUUCCAUUCAAUGGUCACCUAAUCUCAAGAAACAAUGAUAACAAUCAUGUGAAGAGAAUUUACUACAUUUCAAAGUCAGUCAAGGAUGUUCUAGAGCUGAAUCUCCUUGUUGGCCAGCAACUUAAGAUAUCUUCAGUUGGCCUUAAGAUGUUUGUAAGUGAAUGUUUGUGCUAUUUCUGGUAUUUCUAUUAUAUUUUGCACAUUACUUUCCGAAGCCAUUGUUGUAGCAUUUUUCCACUUAUUCUGUUCUUCCUCUUUGGCUUAUUGGUGCUAUCCUUCAUAAGUCGGCGAACUCUGAAUAUCAUACCCUUACCGUAAUAUGUUAGUAAAAUAACCAUGCAUCACCUACCGAAGCUUAUUUUGUCUAAACAUCCCAAGAAUGGAGGAUGGUUAGCUUGAUUAACUUAAGAAUUUUCCAUUGAUGAAUAACCAAUUUUGUUCAUCCUUCUUCCUUCUAAAGGAGCGACAAACAUCAAGAGUAGGUACGACUGCUCCAUGUGCAUUUCGGUUAUCAUCUGAAGGACUGCCAGUAAUUCUUCCUCACAUCACCAAACAGAUCCUAUAUGCCUCUACAGUAGACUUCAAGCAUCUUUUGCAGUAUAAAGCUGUCAAAUUCAAGGACUUUGUUGAUGCUGAGUUUGGGGAGAAGGCAUCAAAGCUUAUGAUGGGUUGCUGUGUGAUAGUUUUAAGAGAUGCCAAAACUUUGUCAGAUCCUAUCCAGUUGGAUGCUUCAACAAUAGCCAUUGGCUGCUGGAAGGGUAGGGCCAGUUUGAGUGUGAUGGUCACAGCAAUAGACUGUCAAGAACUGCUCGAAAGGCUUUCAGCGCGUAUGGAGACUGAAAGGUGCUCUUCUUUGCAAGAAAACAAUGUUGAGGCUGACGACGUGCAGGAUAUGAAUGAAAUUGAAAAAGUUGAGGAAUCUGAGACAACUAAAGAAGCUACCAACGGCUAAAGUUACUUGCUGUAAAUCUAAGUUCGUAAAGUGAGAGAUUUUUAUUGUCACAUGAGGGUGAGUCCAGAAAAACUUAGCUUUCUCUAACUUCUUCUCUCUCAAUGUCUUCACUAAACUUGAUCAAUCUAUUGGUUCUUUUGCUAGACAAAAUGAUUGGAGUGUGAUUUUGCUAAUAACCCAUAUCCUUCAACUCUACUGCCACCGCCACCUUCAUCACUGCCAUCACCACCAAAGCUGAAAAUAGUGUGUUCCCAAUUUCUGAGAUUAGAAACUUAGUUUAGAGGUUCUGCUCCAAAUUCGAACUGCCCUCUUCACUUUCCUAGUAUUGUUCGCAUGUAUAUUAGUUCAAUCCAUGCUUAUUGAUACUUGCCUACUAAGCUAAGCCAUUGUCAAUGACUCUUCAGGGGUGAAUCGAUGGUUGCAUGCUUGAUU
Molecule: unclassified non-coding RNA, 3386 nt
Filed under: Hevea brasiliensis (rubber tree)
Lineage: Eukaryota; Viridiplantae; Streptophyta; Magnoliopsida; Malpighiales; Euphorbiaceae
Source: RNAcentral